GACGAACGCUGGCGGCGUGCUUAACACAUGCAAGUCGAACGGAAAGGCCCUGCUUUUGUGGGGUGCUCGAGUGGCGAACGGGUGAGUAACACGUGUGUAACCUGCCCUUGACUUUGGGAUAACUUCAGGAAACUGGGGCUAAUACCGGAUAGGAGCUCCUGCUGCAUGGUGGGGGUUGGAAAGUUUCGGCGGUUGGGGAUGGACUCGCGGCUUAUCAGCUUGUUGGUGGGGUAGUGGCUUACCAAGGCUUUGACGGGUAGCCGGCCUGAGAGGGUGACCGGCCACAUUGGGACUGAGAUACGGCCCAGACUCCUACGGGAGGCAGCAGUGGGGAAUAUUGCACAAUGGGCGGAAGCCUGAUGCAGCAACGCCGCGUGCGGGAUGACGGCCUUCGGGUUGUAAACCGCUUUCGCCUGUGACGAAGCGUGAGUGACGGUAAUGGGUAAAGAAGCAUCGGCUAACUACGUG
RNAcentral lists this ribosomal RNA (468 nucleotides) under uncultured bacterium. Its description in RNAcentral is "partial 16S ribosomal RNA". It matches the Rfam family "Bacterial small subunit ribosomal RNA", at positions 28 to 507 of the family's 1533-position model. The record is from RNAcentral.